RNAcentral lists this unclassified non-coding RNA (220 nucleotides) under plant metagenome. RNAcentral's name for it is "partial contains small subunit ribosomal RNA, internal transcribed spacer 1, and 5.8S ribosomal RNA". The record is from RNAcentral.
UUUCCGUAGGUGAACCUGCGGAAGGAUCAUUACAGAGUUCAUGCCCUCACGGGUAGAUCUCCCACCCUUGAAUAUUUAUACCUUAGUUGCUUUGGCAGGCCGUGGAAACACCAUGGGCUCCGGCUUAUGCGUGCCUGCCAGAGGAAACAAACUCUGUUUUUAGUGAUGUCUGAGUACUAUAUAAUAGUUAUAACUUUCAACAACGGAUCUCUUGGCUCUC